This is a ribosomal RNA of Lepisosteus oculatus (spotted gar), 117 nucleotides long. Lineage: Eukaryota; Metazoa; Chordata; Actinopteri; Semionotiformes; Lepisosteidae. The record is from Ensembl.
UAUAGCAGUUAUAUCACCCUGCAGCUCUGAACUGGUUACCCACUGAAGCUAAGCAGGGUUGAGCCUGGUCAGUACCUGGAUGGGAGACCUCCUGGGAAGCUCUGGUUGCUGCUGGAA